AUAACAUCUAUAAUCCAAUAAGAAGUCCAGAAACUCUAAAGGAAAAAAGUCAAACUAUAAACAGAAUUUUCACAGGAAAGCAUAAAAUUAUUCAAACUAAAAAAAAAAGAAAAAAAAGUUCAACUUUACUACUAACAGAAGAAAACUAUACUGAGAGAGUAUGUUUAUAACCUAUUUAAAAAUUUAUGUUAGUUUUAUUAAACAUUAUUAUGUUCUGGAUAUUAUUGGUACAAAAGGGGAAAGCAAGUAAUUUUGUUGAGAGAGGUGUGAACUAGAACAAUCACUAAGGAAUUGUGCGAUGAAUUCUGGAUUUACUUACCCAACCACCAAUUUACUUACUCUCCUAGUUGCAGAGAUUGAAAAAUGAAUACGAUGUUUCCCAGAUUUUUUUUUAGUAGGUAGAUUCUAGAUGCUAAUUAGUUUUCCUCUGUAAUAUACUUUCUCAAGAUUUAAAGGGCAGAAGUAAGGCAGAGGCCAUGUUCCUUGAAUCGUGCAGGGUGGCAGGAAACAUGUUUGUGCCACAGUGAUCAAGCAUGUGUCCUCCAGCAUACUGGAUAUGGAGAAGCAGUGGUCGGGGCAGCAGCUUCUUAAUUUGAUAUUUGAAUCCCUGGAUUGUGGUAGAUCUUUCUCCAGCUUCCCACGAGUGAGAGGUUAUACUGGUGGCCUCUGAUUUCUGGUAUGAUCCUUAAUGACUCCUAUCUCCACAUUGGUUGUAGCUAGGGGUUAUAGUUCCAUUAGUGAAUAAAUUGUUUUACUAUAGGAUUCACUCUUGAAGGCUUAACCCAGGUUACUAAACCCAACUCCUUCAACUGUCCUAAUGCCUUCAUAAACAUGAAUUCCAAAACAAGUGAAUUGUUUAAAAAUAUCUAGAAUGUACCUGAUGUGGUAGCACACACCUAUAAUUUCAGUGGCUUGGAAAGCUGAGGCAGGAGGAUUAUAAGUUCAAAGCCAGCCUCAGCAACU
Molecule: long non-coding RNA, 963 nt
Filed under: Marmota monax (woodchuck)
Lineage: Eukaryota; Metazoa; Chordata; Mammalia; Rodentia; Sciuridae
Source: RNAcentral